This 391-nucleotide ribosomal RNA is filed under the name Capnocytophaga granulosa. RNAcentral describes it as "bacterial SSU rRNA". It matches the Rfam family "Bacterial small subunit ribosomal RNA", at positions 28 to 424 of the family's 1533-position model. The record is from RNAcentral. Lineage: Bacteria; Pseudomonadati; Bacteroidota; Flavobacteriia; Flavobacteriales; Flavobacteriaceae.
GAUGAACGCUAGCGGCAGGCCUAACACAUGCAAGUCGAGGGAGAAGCCCUUCGGGGCAGAAACCGGCGCACGGGUGCGUAACGCGUAUGCAACCUACCUUUCACAGGGGGAUAGCCCGAAGAAAUUUGGAUUAAUACCCCAUAAUAUUAUUGGAUGGCAUCAUUUGAUAAUUAAAAUUACGAUGGUGAAAGAUGGGCAUGCGUCCUAUUAGCUAGUUGGAGUGGUAACGGCACCCCAAGGCUACGAUAGGUAGGGGUCCUGAGAGGGAGAUCCCCCACACUGGUACUGAGACAGGGACCAGACUCCUACGGGAGGCAGCAGUGAGGAAUAUUGGUCAAUGGUCGGAAGACUGAACCAGCCAUGCCGCGUGCAGGAAGAAUCCUUAUGGGUU